UCCGCCAGGGGACUACAAGCAUAAGCUUAAAACCCAAAGGACUUGGCGGUGCUUUAGAUCCACCUAGAGGAGCCUGUUCUAGAACCGAUAACCCCCGUUAAACCUCACCCCUUCUUGUUAUUUUCCGCCUAUAUACCGCCGUCGUCAGCUUACCUUGUGAAAGAAUAAUAGUAAACAAAAUCGGUGUUAACCCAAAACGUCAGGUCGAGGUGUAGCGAAUGAAGAGGGAAGAAAUGGGCUACAUUUCCUGAAUACAGGAAAUUACGGAGUAUACAAUGAAAUAAGUAUAUGAAGGAGGAUUUAGCAGUAAAUGGAAAAUAGAGUGUUCC
Molecule: ribosomal RNA, 329 nt
Filed under: Epiplatys bifasciatus
Lineage: Eukaryota; Metazoa; Chordata; Actinopteri; Cyprinodontiformes; Nothobranchiidae
Description: partial 12S ribosomal RNA
Rfam family: Bacterial small subunit ribosomal RNA
Source: RNAcentral